AGUCUGCAACCCGACUACACGAAGCCGGAAUCGCUAGUAAUCGCGAAUCAGAAUGUCGCGGUGAAUACGUUCCCGGGUCUUGUACACACCGCCCGUCACACCAUGGGAGUCGGAAAUGCCCGAAGUCAGUGACCCAACCGCAAGGAGGGAGCUGCCGAAGGCAGGUCCGGUAACUGGGGUGAAGUCGUAACAAGGUAGC
This 199-nucleotide ribosomal RNA is filed under the name uncultured bacterium. RNAcentral's name for it is "partial 16S ribosomal RNA". It matches the Rfam family "Bacterial small subunit ribosomal RNA", at positions 1302 to 1500 of the family's 1533-position model. The record is from RNAcentral.